This 260-nucleotide long non-coding RNA is filed under the name Patiria miniata (bat star). RNAcentral describes it as "uncharacterized LOC119728383". The record is from RNAcentral. Lineage: Eukaryota; Metazoa; Echinodermata; Asteroidea; Valvatida; Asterinidae.
UGUGACAGCUCAUUUACAUAUUUAUCCUGCACAGCGCCCUCGCUUGACCCUUAAGGUAAAGCUCACACUUGUCCUUUGUCUUGAGUGAGUCAUUCCACCACUAGCUCUGUCACUGUUAACACCGCACAGCUAGUGUCCUGCUUCCUUCUACACAUGUUCUUAGUUAAUGCCUCAAGAUUUUGUGGAUGACUCGACUGGGGGUUUGUUUUGUUUGUGUAAGAUGCAGUUCACCAUUAAAUGAACCAGUCACAGUAAAUGUA